RNAcentral lists this ribosomal RNA (379 nucleotides) under uncultured organism. RNAcentral's name for it is "partial 16S ribosomal RNA". It matches the Rfam family "Bacterial small subunit ribosomal RNA", at positions 527 to 896 of the family's 1533-position model. The record is from RNAcentral.
GGAGGGUCCAAGCGUUGUUCGGAAUCACUGGGGGGCGUAAAGCGCGUGUAGGGCGGGCUUGGGCAAGUCGGGUGUGAAAUCCCGGGGCUCAACCCCGGAACUGCACCCCCGAAACUGCCUCGCUAGAGUCCCGGAGAGGGUGGCGGAAUUUCCGGUGUAGAGGUGAAAUUCGUAGAUAUCGGAAGGAACACCAGUGGCGAAGGCGGCCACCUGGACGGUGACUGACGCUGAGACGCGAAAGCGUGGGGAGCAAACAGGAUUAGAUACCCUGGUAGUCCACGCCGUAAACGUUGAGUGCUAGACGUCGGGGGUAUUGACCCCUCCGGUGUCGAAGCUAACGCAUUAAGCACUCCGCCUGGGGAGUACGGUCGCAAGACUA